AUGCUUGCUUCGGCAGCACAUAUACUAAAAUUGAAACGAUACAAAGAUUAGCAUGGCCCUUGGGCAAGGAUGACACGGAAAUUCGUGAAGCAUUCCAUAUUAUA
This 104-nucleotide small nuclear RNA is filed under the name Prolemur simus (greater bamboo lemur). Lineage: Eukaryota; Metazoa; Chordata; Mammalia; Primates; Lemuridae. The record is from RNAcentral.